RNAcentral lists this unclassified non-coding RNA (1094 nucleotides) under Hevea brasiliensis (rubber tree). Lineage: Eukaryota; Viridiplantae; Streptophyta; Magnoliopsida; Malpighiales; Euphorbiaceae. The record is from RNAcentral.
AGAGAGAGAGAGAGAGAGAGAGACCAUUUUCAUGAAUGUAAAUAGGAGGAUUGCCAUAAACUUGCUUUAAGUACUCCAGUGCGGCUUGAAGACCACAAGGCUUUAUGGGAAACUGAGCAAGACAGAGCAUGGUUAGUGACAAAAUAAAAUCCAAACAUUUUAUCAAAUAUAUUAGAUCUUACCUCAUGUGCUGAUGAAUUCACCUGAUCAGCUGCCAAAAAUGAGAGACAGAAAAGAAGAAGAUGUUACUAAGCAAUUCAAGUUCUUUGAAAAUUCGUCAUAGAAUGAAGUCAAUAAGCUUUUUUCGUUCGUAUACAUUCACAUAUAUAAACCAAGAAAAGAGCGAGGUUGACAUGAUAAAGCUCAGGAUAUCAAAGCCUAGGUAACUAGAACACCAAGUGUUUCCUUCCAAUUAAGGAUGGUAGUGAUUUGCGAAGAGCUUACAAAUAAACUUUACUGCCAUAUCUGCCAAAAAAUCUCUAUUUUCCAAUUUCAAAGUGUCAGUUAUCAGUAACAUAAUCUGUGCUGUAAUGAUUCAGUCCCAGGAAGUCAAAUGCACCCUUAACCUGUUUGGAUUCAUAAUCACUGAAGGCUGGUAACCUUAAGCCUGCAUUGUUCUUUACUGCGUAGGGAUUGUCUCCAAACACCAAAGGAUUCAGUAUCAGGCCAAUAAGAAAGUCAAGGGCUCUUCGAGUCGCAAUUGUAUCCUCUGUUGAAUUUGUUAGAGGAAUAGGCCACGAAACAAAAAAGUUAAGCCCUAUAAAUCCGAGUUGCUUGUCCUGCAUCACCUGAUAGUUUUCCCUGUACAAUCUCACAGUUGAUGCAUGUGCCAACAACAAAUGAUGGGCAACCAAGUAUGGCUCAGAUGAGGAGUUGCCUUUGGUGCAGUUUAACCCAAAUGGAGGAGAGCAACGCUCGGGUGGCAAGUGUCCCGUAUCAUAACCGCCCAAUACAUCGACAUUAGGCUCAUUCAAAGUAGUCCAGUAUGCAACCCUAUCACCAAAAUCUCUGAAACACACAUCCGCAUAAUAUGCAAAAUCUUUCACAAUCUUUCGGCUAACCCAUCCUCCAUACUCAUCUUCAAGUGCCUGUGG